AGGAACAACGCUGGCGGCGUGCCUAACGCAUGCAAGUCGGGCGGGGUCGUCUUUCGGGGCGGCUCAGCGGCGGACGGGUGAGGAGCACGUGAUCGACCUGCCCAUGAGUGGGGGCCAACCCCGGGAAACCGGGGCUGUUACCGCAUGCGUCCGGCCCCUGGUGGGGGGGUUGGGGAAAGCCUUUCGGGGCGCUCAUGGAGGGGAUUGCGUCCGAUUAGCUAGUCGGCGGGGUAAAGGCUCACCAAGGCUACGAUCCGUAGCUGGUCUGAGAGGACGACCAGCCACACUGGGACUGAGACACGGCCCAGACUCCUACGGGAGGCAGCAGUGGGGAAUUUUGGACAAUGGGCGAAAGCCUGAUCCAGCCAUGCCGCGUGUGUGAAGAAGGCCUUCGGGUUGUAAAGCUACUUUUGUUCGGAACGAAACGUCAAAGACGAAUAAUCUUUGAUAAUGACGGUACCGGAAGAAUAAGCACCGGCUAACUACGCGCCAGCAGCCGCGGUAA
Molecule: ribosomal RNA, 505 nt
Filed under: uncultured bacterium
Lineage: Bacteria
Description: SSU rRNA
Rfam family: Bacterial small subunit ribosomal RNA
Source: RNAcentral